GCCGGCCUAGCUCAAUUGGUAGAGCAACUGACUUGUAAUCAGUAGGUUGGGGGUGCAAGUCCUCUGGCCGGCACCA
Molecule: transfer RNA, 76 nt
Filed under: Staphylococcus aureus
Lineage: Bacteria; Bacillati; Bacillota; Bacilli; Caryophanales; Staphylococcaceae
Description: tRNA-Thr
Rfam family: tRNA
About the family: Transfer RNA (tRNA) molecules are approximately 80 nucleotides in length.
Source: RNAcentral